GGGAAUAAGCCUCGGCCAACUACGUGCCAGCAGCCGCGGUAAUACGUAGGAGGCGAACGUUAUUCGGAUUUACUGGGCGUAAAGGGAGCGUAGGCGGUUCCUCAAGUCGAAUGUGAAAUCUUCCGCCUCAAUCGGAAGGCGCCAUUUGAUACUGGGGGACUUGAGAGCAGCAGAGGGAAAUGGAAUCUCCAGUGUAGCGGUGAAAUGCGUAGAUAUUGGAGAGAACACCAGUGGCGAAGGCGAUUUCCCAGGCUGCUUCUGACGCUGAGGCUCGAAAGCGUGGGGAGCGAACCGGAUUAGAUACCCGCGUAGUCCACGCCCUAAACGGUGGACACUAGAUAU
RNAcentral lists this ribosomal RNA (342 nucleotides) under uncultured bacterium. Its description in RNAcentral is "bacterial SSU rRNA". It matches the Rfam family "Bacterial small subunit ribosomal RNA", at positions 482 to 823 of the family's 1533-position model. The record is from RNAcentral.